This 591-nucleotide ribosomal RNA is filed under the name uncultured bacterium. Its description in RNAcentral is "bacterial SSU rRNA". It matches the Rfam family "Bacterial small subunit ribosomal RNA", at positions 338 to 944 of the family's 1533-position model. The record is from RNAcentral.
CCUACGGGAGGCAGCAGUGGGGAAUCUUGCGCAAUGGGCGAAAGCCUGACGCAGCCAUGCCGCGUGAAUGAUGAAGGUCUUAGGAUUGUAAAAAUUCUUUCACCGGGGACGAUAAUGACGGUACCCGGAGAAGAAGCCCCGGCUAACUUCGUGCCAGCAGCCGCGGUAAUACGAAGGGGGCUAGCGUUGCUCGGAAUUACUGGGCGUAAAGGGAGCGUAGGCGGAUAGUUUAGUCAGAGGUGAAAGCCCAGGGCUCAACCUUGGAAUUGCCUUUGAUACUGGCUAUCUUGAGUAUGGGAGAGGUUAGCGGAACUCCGAGUGUAGAGGUGAAAUUCGUAGAUAUUCGGAAGAACACCAGUGGCGAAGGCGGCUAACUGGCCCAUUACUGACGCUGAGGCUCGAAAGCGUGGGGAGCAAACAGGAUUAGAUACCCUGGUAGUCCACGCCGUAAACGAUGAGUGCUAGUUGUCGGCAUGCAUGCAUGUCGGUGACGCAGCUAACGCAUUAAGCACUCCGCCUGGGGAGUACGGUCGCAAGAUUAAAACUCAAAUGAUAGAGCGNGAGACGNGCGACGACGACACGAGGGAGAGG